Molecule: long non-coding RNA, 1968 nt
Organism: Xenopus laevis (African clawed frog)
Lineage: Eukaryota; Metazoa; Chordata; Amphibia; Anura; Pipidae
Exons: 3
Source: RefSeq, a predicted model, not a curated record
UUUGGAGGGGUUGAACUUGAUGGACUUUGUCUUUUUUCAACCCAAUUUAACUGUGUAACACCACCAACAAUCUCCACCUGUUUCUCAAUUGCAUUCCCCUCACCCCCUGUGCAAGAGGCAAGAUCUGUAAAACAUCACCUUGGAUGCAUAAAAGGUGUUUAUCAUUUCUAUGAUAUCAGAAAGCUGUAUGGGUUAGCAAAAGCACCAGGAAAAGCAAAAGCAGCACCCUCAAAACACAGGCACCCCCCUUCCCUAACUAUAGGCGUGUUACCUGUAUGAACUCACCUGCUCUGUCUCUGUGGGUGUGUCACUAGCAACAAACUUAAGCGUUAGAGUACUGAUGCAGCAGCAACUUCACAUUUCCUUGCUUUUCUUUGAAAAGUUUUUCUAAAUAAAUUCCCUACUUUUGGCACCAGAUCUCACCAAGGACUCCUGGAUGGCAUGCAGAGAUUACGAUCUAGAGGGCAACUGUCACCAGUAAAGCGAGGGGCGAAUUUGGGGCGUUUCACUUUGCCGAAAAAUUCACGAAUUUCCCGGGCUGGAGGAACUAAUGGCACACAGUAGACAAAGUAUCUGUAUCCCAGCAACAGACCCAUAUAAAGUUCCAGCAGAUGAAAACCCUCAGACGAUGGUGGCAGAGCGGUCUGAUUUCUUUCCUUCAGUAAGCUUGGCUGGGGUUCUUCUAAUUGUGUUUCUACUUCUUAUCCCAGUUCUCUUCCCAUCUGUCCAUCCCUUGGGAAGUCAUUCAAUACUCAUCAAUGGAACCUUUGUGCACCUACACCCUCUACUCACUAGCCAACCACUCUCAACUCGAAGGGAGUUACAGAAGAUUUUUAGAGGAAUUAGGGUAGAGGGUGUUACAGUGAUAGCAAUUGCUCAGGAAGAUGCUUUUCAGACACUUGUUUGUUUCUCCAGCUUUAUGAUAUCCCUUCUAUCACAUAAAAGCACUACAGACAAUGUCACCAAAAGGCUCCAACACAUCGACUCUGGUUUACAGGCUAGGAAUGGUGCAAGAACUCCAGAAGGCUUUUACAUUUCAGUCAUAACUCAGGAAAAACGACAAGCACCCUUUGGAACGAUUCUGGGCCCAAGAAGUCCUAUAUCUGGUGAGGGACCUCAAUGGGAGAUGACUCUUACCUUAACACAGAUGGACAACAAGGAGAUGAUGCACAAGGAAGCCUCAUUCUUAGCUAGGGAGCUUCUACAAAUUCUACCAACAGGGCAGGUUCCACUGGUUUUUGAGAAAGCUAAAUUAUGGGGAAAGUCGCUGCCUGUACUACAGAUUACAGCAAACCCUUAUCUUGAGAGUGGCUUUGUGUGCUGAAGGAUUGAAUGCUAUUUUUUCUUAACAUCUACAAGCUACAACUUCGAAAUGCAACUUGUUAUCAUAGGAGUGAAACUCAAGAGCUUAACUCCACUGUAUGGGUCUACUUCUGUUUAAAUGACACCCCAAAUACGUAAUCAUUGGGAGCAAAGCUAACACCAGCAAGUACUCACUGAAGACUUUCGGUAGGAACAUAAACUAAUGGAUUAUGUGAAAUGCUGUCCAUGGCCUCAUUUUCUGACACUCUGAAGAACAAAGGAAACUAUAUCCCUAUAUGUGAAUUUAUUGUAUAUGGUGAUGAAAUAUAGCACUAUUACAGAAAAUGUUGGCAUCCCCAGUUAUCCACAUUGACAUGGACCAUAACUGUAUAUCACAAUAUUCUCUUUCUUAUAAGCACUAGCGUAUUUUUACAUUGUGUUUGUUGACCGUAGAUGUACUCUCCCUGUUUCAUAUGAUUUAAAACUACAUUUAUUAUUACUUGUUGGUAAAGGCAAGAAAACCCCAAAACUGUGAAUUCUUGUUUGAAAGAUUUUUGGCAAAAGCUAUGGUCCAACUCCUUGGUUCUGAGAAGUAAUGCCUUAUCACAGGAGUCCAGUUUGAUGUUCCUUUUGUAUGUUUAUCAAUAAAAUACCUGCUUUUAUGUA